RNAcentral lists this ribosomal RNA (428 nucleotides) under uncultured archaeon. Its description in RNAcentral is "bacterial SSU rRNA". It matches the Rfam family "Archaeal small subunit ribosomal RNA", at positions 474 to 903 of the family's 1478-position model. The record is from RNAcentral.
UACCUGCAGCUCGAGUGGUAACCGCUAUUAUUGGGCCUAAAGCGUCCGUAGCCGGUUUGGUAAAUAUCUGGGUAAAUCGUGAGGCUUAACUUCACGAAUUUCGGAUAGACUGCCAGACUUGGGAUCGGGGGAGGUCAGAGGUACUCCAGGGGUAGCGGUGAAAUGUUGUAAUCCUUGGAGGACCACCGGUAGCGAAGGCGUCUGACUAGAACGAGUCCGACGGUGAGGGACGAAGCCCUGGGGCGCAAACCGGAUUAGAUACCCGGGUAGUCCAGGGUGUAAACAAUGUGGCUUUGUAUUGGAGGUUCCACGUGGGCGUCCAGUGCAGAAGAGAAGUUGUUAAGCCCACCGCCUGGGAAGUACGGUCGCAAGGCUGAAACUUAAAGGAAUUGGCGGGGGAGCACAGCAGCGGGAGGAGCGUGCGGUUU